This 328-nucleotide ribosomal RNA is filed under the name uncultured eukaryote. RNAcentral describes it as "partial 18S ribosomal RNA". It matches the Rfam family "Eukaryotic small subunit ribosomal RNA", at positions 1470 to 1796 of the family's 1831-position model. The record is from RNAcentral.
CCCUUAGAUGUUCUGGGCCGCACGCGCGCUACACUGAUGCAUUCAACGAGUGUACCUUGGCCGAGAGGCCUGGGCAAUCUUUUGAACGUGCAUCGUGAUAGGGAUAGAUUAUUGCAAUUAUUAAUCUUGAACGAGGAAUUCCUAGUAAGCGCGAGUCAUCAGCUCGCGUUGAUUACGUCCCUGCCCUUUGUACACACCGCCCGUCGCUACUACCGAUUGAAUGGUUUAGUGAGGACUCCUGAUUGGCGCCGCCGCCCCGGCAACGGAGCAGCGGACUGCCGAAAAGUUGUUCAAACUUGAUCAUUUAGAGGAAGUAAAAGUCGUAACA